AUACUUACCUGGCAGGGGAGUUGCUAUGGUCACAUAAAUAAGGUUUUUCCAGAAUGGGACUGAACUCAUGCACUCUGGAUGAGUUCAAAAUUUCUCCAAAUAUGAGGAACUCCACUGAAUAGUUUUGGGUAGUGUAUUCACAUUCAUCUCUAUAUU
Mesocricetus auratus (golden hamster) is the source of this 156-nucleotide small nuclear RNA. Its record names the gene U1. It matches the Rfam family "U1 spliceosomal RNA". From Rfam's summary of the family: U1 is a small nuclear RNA (snRNA) component of the spliceosome (involved in pre-mRNA splicing). Its 5' end forms complementary base pairs with the 5' splice junction, thus defining the 5' donor site of an intron. NCBI's taxonomy places the organism in Eukaryota, Metazoa, Chordata, Mammalia, Rodentia, Cricetidae. The record is from Ensembl.